This 855-nucleotide ribosomal RNA is filed under the name uncultured bacterium. Its description in RNAcentral is "bacterial SSU rRNA". It matches the Rfam family "Bacterial small subunit ribosomal RNA", at positions 94 to 954 of the family's 1533-position model. The record is from RNAcentral.
CACGGCGCACGGGUGCGUAACACGUGGGCAAUCUACCCUCCGAUGGGGAAUAACUCCGGGAAACCGAAGCUAAUUCCGCAUAACAUUCCCUGGACUCCGGUUUGGGGAUUCAAAGCAGCAAUGCGUCGGAGGAGGAGCCCGCGCCCGAUUAGCUAGUUGGUGAGGUAACGGCUCACCAAGGCUAUGAUCGGUAGCUGGUCUGAGAGGAUGGCCAGCCACACUGGAACUGAGACACGGUCCAGACUCCUACGGGAGGCAGCAGUGGGGAAUCUUGCGCAAUGGGCGAAAGCCUGACGCAGCGACGCCGCGUGGGGGAUGAAGCUUCUCGGAGUGUAAACCCCUUUCGACCGGGACGAAUGCCCGCAAGGGAGUGACGGUACCGGUAGAAGAAGCCCCGGCUAACUACGUGCCAGCAGCCGCGGUAAGACGUAGGGGGCCAGCGUUGUUCGGAAUUACUGGGUGUAAAGGGUUCGUAGGCGGUGUGGCAAGUCGGGAGUGAAAUUUCUGGGCUUAACUCAGAACCUGCUUCCGAAACUGCUGUGCUGGAGUGUGGGAGAGGCGCGUGGAAUUGCAGGUGUAGCGGUGAAAUGCGUAGAUAUCUGCAGGAACACCCGUGGCGAAAGCGGCGCGCUGGACCACUACUGACGCUGAGGAACGAAAGCUAGGGGAGCAAACAGGAUUAGAUACCCUGGUAGUCCUAGCCCUAAACGAUCAGGACUUGGGGUGCCACCCGUUCGGGUGUCGUCCCGGAGCUAACGCGUUAAGUCCUGCACCUGGGGAGUACGGUCGCAAGACUGAAACUCAAAGGAAUUGACGGGGGCCCGCACAAGCGGUGGAACAUGUGGUUCAAUUCGA